This 415-nucleotide ribosomal RNA is filed under the name Sphingomonas sp. HV3. Its description in RNAcentral is "bacterial SSU rRNA". It matches the Rfam family "Bacterial small subunit ribosomal RNA", at positions 46 to 505 of the family's 1533-position model. The record is from RNAcentral. Lineage: Bacteria; Pseudomonadati; Pseudomonadota; Alphaproteobacteria; Sphingomonadales; Sphingomonadaceae.
GCCUAAUACAUGCAAGUCGAACGAGAUCCUUCGGGGUCUAGUGGCGCACGGGUGCGUAACGCGUGGGAAUCUGCCCUUGGGUUCGGAAUAACGUUUGGAAACGAACGCUGAUACCGGAUGAUGACGAAAGUCCAAAGAUUUAUCGCCCAGGGAUGAGCCCGCGUAGGAUUAGCUAGUUGGUAAGGUAAAGGCUUACCAAGGCGACGAUCCUUAGCUGGUCUGAGAGGAUGAUCAGCCACACUGGGACUGAGACACGGCCCAGACUCCUACGGGAGGCAGCAGUAGGGAAUAUUGGACAAUGGGGGCAACCCUGAUCCAGCAAUGCCGCGUGAGUGAUGAAGGCCUUAGGGUUGUAAAGCUCUUUUACCCGGGAUGAUAAUGACAGUACCGGGAGAAUAAGCCCCGGCUAACUCCG